AUGGUGCCUAUGAGGGGAAGAAGAAGAAAGAAGAGAUUCCGGAGUGACAUGGAUGAUCUAACUGGAUACACUGGAAUGAAGCAAUUUGGUAGUGGUCAUUUCAUGGAGCCACCGGAAAACAACAAUUGUGGAGAAUGCAAUGACACAGGACACAACGUUAGGACAUGCAAGAAACGAAGAACCAACACGGGCACUAGUCAAACACGUGGACGGAGCAGUAGCCUUGGAGGGGGCCGUGGCCAUGGAGGAAGGACUAACAUUGGAGGGGGCCGCGGCCGUGGAGGAAGGACUAGCCUUGGAGGGAGCCGUGGCCGUGGAGGAAGGACUAGCCUUGUAGGGGCCCGUGGCCGUGUAUCCGGUGGUUCUAGGACACGUCGGGUUGAUAGGGGAAGGCCUAUCGACGUGUUGCUCAAUCCGGAUGGUUAA
Molecule: ribosomal RNA, 426 nt
Filed under: Triticum aestivum (bread wheat)
Lineage: Eukaryota; Viridiplantae; Streptophyta; Magnoliopsida; Poales; Poaceae
Description: partial small subunit ribosomal RNA
Source: RNAcentral